Molecule: ribosomal RNA, 482 nt
Filed under: uncultured bacterium
Lineage: Bacteria
Description: partial 16S ribosomal RNA
Rfam family: Bacterial small subunit ribosomal RNA
Source: RNAcentral
AUUGAACGCUGGCGGCAUGCUUUACACAUGCAAGUCGAACGGUAACAGGCCGCAAGGUGCUGACGAGUGGCGAACGGGGGAGUAAUGCAACGGAACGUGCCCAGUCGUGGGGGAUAACUACUCGAAAGAGGAGCUAAUACCGCAUACGAGCUAUGGAUGAAAGCGGGGGACCGUAAUGCCUCGCGCGAUUGGAGCGGCCGAUGUCAGAUUAGGUAGUUGGUGGGGUAAAGGCUCACCAAGCCAACGAUCUGUAGCUGGUCUGAGAGGACGACCAGCCACACUGGGACUGAGACACGGCCCAGACUCCUACGGGAGGCAGCAGUGGGGAAUUUUGGACAAUGGGCGAAAGCCUGAUCCAGCAAUGCCGCGUGCAGGAAGAAGGCCUUCGGGUUGUAAACUGCUUUUGUACGGAACGAAACGGCUCUGGUUAAUACCCGGGGCUAAUGACGGUACCGUAAGAAUAAGCACCGGCUAACUACGUG